This 478-nucleotide ribosomal RNA is filed under the name uncultured bacterium. Its description in RNAcentral is "partial 16S ribosomal RNA". It matches the Rfam family "Bacterial small subunit ribosomal RNA", at positions 28 to 507 of the family's 1533-position model. The record is from RNAcentral.
GAUGAACGCUGGCGGCGUGCUUAACACAUGCAAGUCGAACGGGAAAUAUUUCAUUGAGACUUCGGUGGAUUUGAUUUAUUUCUAGUGGCGGACGGGUGAGUAACGCGUGGGUAACCUGCCUUAUACAGGGGGAUAACAGUCAGAAAUGGCUGCUAAUACCGCAUAAGCGCACAGAGCUGCAUGGCUCAGUGUGAAAAACUCCGGUGGUAUAAGAUGGACCCGCGUUGGAUUAGCUAGUUGGUGGGGUAACGGCCCACCAAGGCGACGAUCCAUAGCCGGCCUGAGAGGGUGAACGGCCACAUUGGGACUGAGACACGGCCCAGACUCCUACGGGAGGCAGCAGUGGGGAAUAUUGCACAAUGGGGGAAACCCUGAUGCAGCGACGCCGCGUGAAGGAAGAAGUAUCUCGGUAUGUAAACUUCUAUCAGCAGGGAAGAUAGUGACGGUACCUGACGAAGAAGCCCCGGCUAACUACGUG